AUUUUAUAGGGUCAUCGGCCAUCUGUGGUUUUUGUAUCCACAAGAGACUGAUGAAUUGAAUGGGAGCCAGGAUGUAAUCCUAUGGGGAUACUAAGGAAUGAGUUCUGUUACUUCAUUAGAUAGAAGAUUAUAGGAUGUUUUAAACUUUACAUCAAGGAACAAGAGAUGACUCAGUGAUCAAGAGUGCCCCAACUCUGACUCCAGGAGCUUCUGUGUCCUCUUCAGGCUUCUGUAUGAAAGCAAGCAUCAUCAGCUGAGUGACAACCUUCUUAAAAAUACCUGGGCUGCCCAGCAAAUGAAAACAUGAGUUUAAUCCUGCUAGGAAGGAAAGCAUCCACUCCCCUGGGAAGACUAUGAUCUACUUCAGUCAUACUCCCAGAUGCUAGCAAGAGUGACGUGGCUCUAUCAAUGUUUAACACCCACCCUGGUUAGAACCUAGUCAGCCCUGAACCAGCACUGCCUUUUCAUCCACAUCCAUUUCUUUUGCCACCUCCUUCCACUAAGAUGCUGUUUCUUUCUAUUUACCACCCCACAGGCAUCCAGACAAGGCUCUUGCACCCUUGUGCUCUAUAUAUUGGAGUAGCCACUAGCUAUGUUUGUGUGUGUGUGUGUGUGUGUGUGUGUAUUCUCUUAAAAUGAUUGAAAAAUUUAGAACUCAUAUUCUCCAUUGCUUUAUAAAGUAAGUGUACCCAAUGGUCCUUCAAUGCCUGGUGGCUUCAGUUUGUGUAAAACAAUUUUUCUAGCAUGUGAAUUUUUAUCUUAUAGCUGUAUCAGAGCACAUUUCCAUUCUGUUUCUCCUGGUGUGUGUGGAUAUCCAACAGGCCUAGUGUUUUCAUAGAUGUGUCCUUAAGGACAAGCUUGGUUCUUUAUCAUGGUGAGGCAGUAAAGGAACAAAUGCAUGUAAUAAUAAAGCCAUCUUAUAACUGAAUAAAGGAAUGACUACUACAA
This is a long non-coding RNA of Mus musculus (house mouse), 948 nucleotides long. RefSeq annotates it as predicted gene, 33007. The transcript has 3 exons. Lineage: Eukaryota; Metazoa; Chordata; Mammalia; Rodentia; Muridae. The record is from RefSeq and is a predicted model, not a curated record.